Long non-coding RNA from Paralichthys olivaceus (Japanese flounder), 1142 nucleotides. RefSeq lists it as uncharacterized. Lineage: Eukaryota; Metazoa; Chordata; Actinopteri; Pleuronectiformes; Paralichthyidae. The record is from RefSeq and is a predicted model, not a curated record.
GAGAAGCCGGUUCGCGGAGAGGAGUUAGACCGGAGAGGAAGAGCGAGGGAGACCGGGGAGGGAGCCCCGAGGAGCGGUCAGCAGCGCGGGGUGGGGACCGGACAACCGGAUGCUCUCACCGGAGCGUUUUAAACCGCUUUAUCUUUAGACAUUUAAACGCUAGUACUCGGAGUGCAGGGGACACACGGCGGCGGUGUGGUGAGGGGGAAACUUCGAGUGUCGUCGUCACCUCUGGAAGUGUCAGAAAACAGAGUUAAGGUGUGGCUGAGUGUGUGUGUGUGUGGUGUGUGUGUCUGUCUGUGUGUGUCAGGCUCUGAAACACGAGCGGACACACACUCGGUCUCGAACAUCUACUAGCGGCUCCAAACAGCCUCCACACUAGUUUCCAUUAAGGAACACAUUACAUAACUAACGUAUUUCCAUCUCGACGCGUAAAAUUCCUCCUCCUCCUCCUCCUCCUCCUCCUCCUCCGCAGAAGAUCAUAGAUCCACCAGACUGUUCCGCUGUUUAAGAAGAAAGUCGAGCGUUUUUCUUUUCUUUUCUCGGGUGUGAAAUUUAACGGACGUGGCAACUUCGCAGCCGCCGACCCUCUGCUGCUGAACGCCACAGGCGCAAAACUGGGCGUGGGGGGUGAGAAGAGUCCGGACUGAGGCUGAUGAUCCUCAUGUACCAUUUGCGCAGAAAAUCCCGCAAUAUUAGCGUAAGUGACGAGAGCCUCGUUGUGGAUUGACGUGGAUCAAAGUCUCACCAUCAGGAUCUACUGUUCCUUCCUGGAGUCUACAGAGGUGUUAAUUAUCGGAGAUGUGCCCCACCAGUGCCACUGACCCUGGGUGGCCUGUACCUGUGCUCCUGCCAGCUGUUGUGCCAGAUGUGCAUGGUGAGAAGGCAGAAGAGCAUCCCAGAAAGAGACAAACUGGCAGCUGCUGCAAACAGAGGGGAGCACGAUCAAAGCAGGGCUGGGUCAACCUACAACACAUCAGUCAUACAGCAAAUAUCUUACAACAAACUGUGAGGAUCUUGACAGUUAGUUGACGUACGAUAUAAGGAUGAAUGUGUUGUUCUGUAGCCUGCUGCUAUGUGAGGUCUCUGAUAUUACUGUAUCUCCUUGAAUAAAAGUAGGCCCAUGUCCUCAACUAAAUGAU